GGGUCGUUAGCUCAGUUGGUAGAGCAGUUGACUUUUAAUCAAUGGGUCGCAGGUUCGAAUCCUGCACGACCCACCA
This 76-nucleotide transfer RNA is filed under the name Escherichia coli. RNAcentral describes it as "tRNA-Lys". It matches the Rfam family "tRNA". Rfam says of the family: Transfer RNA (tRNA) molecules are approximately 80 nucleotides in length. Their secondary structure includes four short double-helical elements and three loops (D, anti-codon, and T loops). Lineage: Bacteria; Pseudomonadati; Pseudomonadota; Gammaproteobacteria; Enterobacterales; Enterobacteriaceae. The record is from RNAcentral.